RNAcentral lists this ribosomal RNA (403 nucleotides) under Verrucomicrobiota bacterium. Its description in RNAcentral is "Verrucomicrobia bacterium partial 16S ribosomal RNA". It matches the Rfam family "Bacterial small subunit ribosomal RNA", at positions 355 to 776 of the family's 1533-position model. The record is from RNAcentral. Lineage: Bacteria; Pseudomonadati; Verrucomicrobiota.
UGGGGAAUAUUGCACAAUGGGCGCAAGCCUGAUGCAGCAACGCCGCGUGAACGAUGAAGGUCUUCGGAUCGUAAAGUUCUGUUGCAGGGGAAGAUAAUGACGGUACCCUGUGAGGAAGCCCCGGCUAACUACGUGCCAGCAGCCGCGGUAAUACGUAGGGGGCUAGCGUUAUCCGGAUUUACUGGGCGUAAAGGGUGCGUAGGUGGUCUUUCAAGUCGGUGGUUAAAGGCUACGGCUCAACCGUAGUUAGCCUCCGAAACUGGAAGACUUGAGUGCUGGAAAGGAACGUGGAAUUCCCAGUGUAGCGGUGAAAUGCGUAGAUAUUGGGAGGAACACCAGUAGCGAAGGCGGCUUUCUGGACUGCAACUGACACUGAGGCACGAAAGCGUGGGUAGCAAACAGG